RNAcentral lists this long non-coding RNA (1264 nucleotides) under Manihot esculenta (cassava). RNAcentral describes it as "long non-coding RNA (MESC_LNC004916)". The record is from RNAcentral. Lineage: Eukaryota; Viridiplantae; Streptophyta; Magnoliopsida; Malpighiales; Euphorbiaceae.
CUCAUUCUUUUUCAUCUUUUGAGCAUAAAUCAUUAAAGUCUCCCGAACAAAGUCACGGAAGAGAGCUUCUACGAGAUAAAGCUCGAAUAAGGUUCCAAGACUGACGUCAUCGUUGCGAUUCCGGAAACCCAUAAUAACUAAUAAACCUCCAUUGAACAUUACCUUCCGAAACAACCGAAUCAAUAAAAUUUGAAGAAAAGCCAACCACAGAAACAGACACAUGACUCUUCUAUAUUAACGAAAGGCCUCCUCCCAAUCCUUGUCUAUUGACUGAGAAGCAACCAUCAAAAUGUAAAAAAUUACGAAAAAAUUCCAUAUGAGAACUAAUAGCUUUUGUUUCCAUAAAAAAUAAAAUGUCCGCUUGUAACUAUGAACCAAAUCCUUCAAUACAAUAACUGUCCGAUGAUUGUCACCAUAAAUCUGCCAAAAAGGUCUGCAUAUUCUGAAAAUUGAUUGAAUUAUAUGUGAGAAACAUCCUCACUUCGAAAUAUCUCUGAAACUCUUAAUAAGGACAACAACAUUUUUUUAUUUAUCAAUAAUCAAUUGACGCAGAUCGUUUUUCAUGGGAAAGGGAAAAGAAAAAGAAAAAGUUAAAUUUAAAGAAGAAAAAAAAUCGAGAGUAUCGAGUCAUAAAUCGAAAAUUCUUUAUAUUAGUUCAUUAGUUUCAACUAUUAUGGAGGUGUGUUUUCAAAUUUAGCUAUGUCUUUCAAUAAAUUAAUUAUUGUACAAAUACAGUAGCUAAAUUUUAUCCUAAGAAGGACCUUGCCUCUUACGGUACACAAGAAUUAGUAUGUUUUUUGGGAAGUGUUUAUUUUUAGGGCAGAAUGUGGUCAUGUAAUAAAAUAUUUAUUACCAGUAAAAAAAAACAAAAGAAAGAAUAAAACAUGAAAAAAAGUACAAUUACUAGAAAAGUUACAUAUAAAUUCUAAAUUAUUGGAUCAAUGAGCAUGACAAGGACAAAGAGACAAUAGAGUGGAAAUGGGUUUGCCUUUGAGUGAAAUACUUCUUACAGGUUUAUUGCUCACAUUGUAAAAGCAAAAUUAUCCAAGGAUAAAAAGCAUACAUGGCCAAAUAAUGGAACAUAAAAAGUAAUGGGUACCUCCAUGGUUAUUAGCAACCGCAAUUAUAGGCGCCGGCUUCUAUACCACAUCACAGUUGAACGGAAAAACAUCCCGUGAAAGAAGGAUAGAGAAUUCUGAACAACCACCGGACAUAGAACUGGAGCAAAAGAAAAUACCAGUAUGUUGUAGCUGGGAAGUCAAAA